GCCGCCGGCGCGCUCCACCCGGAGCGAGGCCAUCGUGCAGCAAGGAGGAAUACCAGCUGAUGUCAGUCCGCCAGCCAAAACCAGGGAGGAGAAGCGGGAGCCAGCCCUCUGGAGUCGGGAGAAGGAAGAAGGUGCCACAGCUCUUCAGGACCACGGUUGGGAGAAAGAAUGGAGGGGUUUUAGAACCUUCAGUGUGCGACUUCAUGUGCCAGUCUUCAUCUCAGGAUCUCAAGCUCUUGGAUCAUGGGCACGGAUAACCUGUUGUCCUCCUCUAUGGUCAAGAGGCUGCUUUUGCAAAGAAUCCAGUGGGAGAGAGUCAAUGGCCUGCUUGACGUGAACUCCAAAGUCCUCCUGGAACAGGGGCUCACUCUGUUGCCCACAUUGGAGUGCGGUGGAAGAAUCAUGGCAUGCUGCAGUCUUGAGCUUCUAGGCUCAAGAGAUCCUCCUGGUUCAGUCUCCCAAGUAGCUAGGACAGCAGGCAUAUUUUUUGUAGAUAUGGGGGUCUUGCUUUUUUGCCGAGGCUGGUCUCGAACUCCUGGCUUCAAGCAAUCUUCCUGCAUCAGUCUCUUAAAGUGUUGGGAUUCCAGGCAUGAACCACUGCACCUGGCCCUUGGGAAGUUUUAUUUUUAGCCUAGGGUUGGGGUUAAGUUUGCAUCAUGAUGUUGAGACCUCCAAAGGAGAACUUAUUGUAGUCAUUCCUGAGCUCAGGUGUCCAAACUGUCUAAUUGGAGAAUCUGGGAAUUUUCUCUCGUUUUGAUUUUCCUCUUCCACUUUUCCAUGCCAGUUGGAUGUUUGAAUGUUUUUAUCGACCUCUGAGAGCAUCCGGGUAACUGAGGGUUUACUUUGGGGGUCUUUGGAGAUGAAUAGGGACAGGAGACCUCACCUUUCUUUUCCAUGUAGCCAUAGGAGAUAGUCCCACGAUCUGAUGAUCUGUAGCAAUGGGUAGAGGAAGGGCCGUAUUAG
This 963-nucleotide long non-coding RNA is filed under the name Homo sapiens (human). RNAcentral describes it as "HSALNT0240852". The record is from RNAcentral. Lineage: Eukaryota; Metazoa; Chordata; Mammalia; Primates; Hominidae.